UGGGGAAUAUUGCACAAUGGGGGAAACCCUGAUGCAGCAACGCCGCGUGAACGAAGAAGGUCUUCGGAUCGUAAAGUUCUGUCCUUGGGGAAGAAAAAGAUGACGGUACCCAUGGAGGAAGCCCCGGCUAACUACGUGCCAGCAGCCGCGGUAAUACGUAGGGGGCGAGCGUUAUCCGGAAUUAUUGGGCGUAAAGAGUACGUAGGCGGUUCUUUAAGCGCAGGGUAUAAGGCUAAGGCUUAACCAUAGUUGGCCCUGUGAACUGGAGGACUUGAGUAUCGGAGAGGAAAGCGGAAUUCCUAGUGUAGCGGUGAAAUGCGUAGAUAUUAGGAGGAACACCAGUGGCGAAGGCGGCUUUCUGGACGAAUACUGACGCUGAGGUACGAAAGCGUGGGGAGCAAACAGG
Molecule: ribosomal RNA, 406 nt
Filed under: uncultured bacterium
Lineage: Bacteria
Description: bacterial SSU rRNA
Rfam family: Bacterial small subunit ribosomal RNA
Source: RNAcentral